This is a long non-coding RNA of Micropterus salmoides (largemouth bass), 1672 nucleotides long. RefSeq lists it as uncharacterized. The transcript is spliced from 3 exons. The record is from RefSeq and is a predicted model, not a curated record. NCBI's taxonomy places the organism in Eukaryota, Metazoa, Chordata, Actinopteri, Centrarchiformes, Centrarchidae.
CAUUAACAGCAGAGCUAUGGCUAUUUUGAUAAUAUAUUAAUUGUUUGUCAUUCUUUGAGCAAAAAUGACAAACGUUGUAGCUUUUCUGUAUCUCUGAUGUGAAAGUAAACUUAUAAUUAUAUCAGAGUUUUAGAUUGGGAAAAUUGUGAUUAUGAAUAAUUUUAAAUUUGAAUUAUUUUUAUACAUUUUAAAGGCAAAACAAUCCUGAAUUACUCAAUUAAUUGAGAAAAUAAUCGGUUAGUUGCAGUCUUAAAGUGCAGUCACAACUUUCUUUGCACAAUAGGUGGUGGUGAGAUUGUGUUUCCCGAUAUGAAGGGCUAUGUAUGCCCACCUGGAAAAGGAAAACUAUCUUUUGUGUGUGUGUGUCUGCAUCCUCAUCUGUGUGUGUGAAUGGUACAUUUGUCUGCAUGUAUUUGUGGACGUGUCAUUUCAGGACGAGGUGUUUGCUGCAGGCGAAGCAGCAGCCUGAGUAAGGUGUGCUGAGGUAAGACUCUGUACCAGUUGAAAAGCUUUCUGAGCACUCACACAUACACACACCCUCAUUGAGGGUCACAAGUAUAGAAAGACGAUGUUAAGAAUUUUGGGAUUAUGUUGUGUUUGAUUUGUGGGCGAAAAAAUAACUAAUUUGCCCUCUUUCGAGGGUUAGAAAUUCAUCUUUUCUCUAUGUUGCUGUUUUUUCAGUGGUUUAUCCAUGUGUAAAUAAACUGGUAGUUUGACCAUAUUCUUAAAUAUAGUAUGUAGUUUUAGUCAUUUUAAGUUUUAUCAGCCUAAAGUUCAGCUGUGUACCUACACCAGGUCCACUCACUGGGCUAGUUGGUGAACUAUGGCUGGCAAGCUAACUGCAAACAUGCUAGUUGUGAACAUGCUGGUACUAGUCUGCCACAAUAGCUCUCCAAGCUUCUUUUUAUUUUCUCUGUAGGCUACUGGACUGUUUACUCCCACUUGGUAUUUUAAUUAUACAUUUAAUUAAUUACAGAGUUUAAUUAGUGAGGGGGGAAAAAACUCCAAGCUAAUGAGCUAACAAGCUAACUGCUUGCCAACUCUCAGUUAGUAAGCAUGUUAGCUCAGUUGCUAAUAAUACAAAGUUUAAACAUAUUUGUAAUAUCAGCUUCUGUCUCUGUAACCUAUUACUCUUUUGUAGAGCCCUUUAUACACAGACAGAUGAGGUUACAUUAAAGAGGAUGGAGACACAGCUACUAAUUUACAACAGCUUCCUCUAUUUAGACUUUUGAGCCCUCUAUUCCUCAAAGGUCAGCACUGUCAACGCUUGCUACUUCUGUCUCAUAACUGUUUGUAACAUAUUCCUCUUUUGUAGAGCCAUUUAUAUUCAGACAGAUGAGGUUAAAUAAAAGUGGAUGGUGUCACACAGCUACUGCUACAACGGCUUCCACCAUUUAAGACUCUAGAGCCUUGUGUUCCUCAAAGUGCAUUUUCUGGGUUGAGGUGACCAAAUGUGACUGGAACGAGUUAAAAUCAUUAUAUGGUCUCCUCUUUAUCUUCCUCCCUUGUCCCUGAGCAGCGUCACAGGAACAUGCUGGAUUGUGUAACGCUGUCAUAUUUCUUCAACAGUACAUGUUUGUGGGGUCCAAGCCUGUCACAUUGUUGUUGCCUCUGGAUUAUGUGCAGUGCUGAAUCUUCUUGGCCCACAGUAAAGAUGACAUGAGAGGCUUUA